This 505-nucleotide ribosomal RNA is filed under the name uncultured bacterium. RNAcentral's name for it is "bacterial SSU rRNA". It matches the Rfam family "Bacterial small subunit ribosomal RNA", at positions 28 to 532 of the family's 1533-position model. The record is from RNAcentral.
GAUGAACGCUAGCGGCAGGCUUAACACAUGCAAGUCGAGGGGCAGCACGUCUUCGGAUGGUGGCGACCGGCGCACGGGUGAGUAACGCGUAUGCAAUCUACCUUUUACAGGGGCAUAGCCCGGGGAAACCCGGAUUAAUAUCCUAUAGUACCAUUAUAUAGCAUUAUAUUAUGGUUAAAGUUUCGGCGGUAAAAGAUGAGCAUGCGUCCUAUUAGCUUGAUGGUAAGGUAACGGCUUACCAUGGCUAUGAUAGGUAGGGGUCCUGAGAGGGAGACCCCCCACACUGGUACUGAGACACGGACCAGACUCCUACGGGAGGCAGCAGUGAGGAAUAUUGGACAAUGGGCGCAAGCCUGAUCCAGCCAUGCUGCGUGCAGGAAGACGGCCCUAUGGGUUGUAAACUGCUUUUAUACGGGAAGAAACACCCCUUCGUGAGGGGACUUGACGGUACCGUAUGAAUAAGGAUCGGCUAACUCCGUGCCAGCAGCCGCGGUAAUACGGAGGA